Molecule: ribosomal RNA, 430 nt
Filed under: bacterium
Lineage: Bacteria
Description: partial 16S ribosomal RNA
Rfam family: Bacterial small subunit ribosomal RNA
Source: RNAcentral
UGGGGAAUAUUGGACAAUGGGCGCAAGCCUGAUCCAGCCAUGCCGCGUGUGUGAAGAAGGCCUUUUGGUUGUAAAGCACUUUAAGCGAGGAGGAGGCUACUUGGAUUAAUACUCUAGGAUAGUGGACGUUACUCGCAGAAUAAGCACCGGCUAACUCUGUGCCAGCAGCCGCGGUAAUACAGAGGGUGCGAGCGUUAAUCGGAUUUACUGGGCGUAAAGCGUGCGUAGGCGGCUUCUUAAAUCGGAUGUGAAAUCCCUGAGCUUAACUUAGGAAUUGCAUUCGAUACUGGGAAGCUAGAGUAUGGGAGAGGAUGGUAGAAUUCCAGGUGUAGCGGUGAAAUGCGUAGAGAUCUGGAGGAAUACCGAUGGCGAAGGCAGCCAUCUGGCCUAAUACUGACGCUGAGGUACGAAAGCAUGGGGAGCAAACAGG